AAAUCCCACAGCAUAUUAGAAGCUUCCACAACAUAUUCAUAUUAUCUCUUUCCCCAAAUCCCACAACAUAUCUCUCUUUCCGCAAAUAAUAGCAAUUUCCCCACAAUGAGAGAAUUUAGUGUUCAUAUGCCUUCGAUUUUGCUCUAAUCAAUCUCUGUUUUUCUACUUGCAAGCUAAACGUAAGCUCCAAUCAUCUCUAUUUUAUGGUAAAUCAAUCAAUUUGCUGAAAGAGUGGGGAAAUUGCUAUUAUUUUAAGGUAGCCAAGGGAUCAAAAACUGCCGGUGAAGCUAUUGAGAUCAUAUUGAAGUGAUAAACUUAAUCAAGCAGGUGGCUAGGAAGACAGCCUUGAUCCAUAGCUUUAUUACUCAGGGACUACAUAGCGGAGCUCCAUUUCAUUCGCAGCUACAGCUUUUGGUAUUUAUUCUUUUGUGUGCAUAUUUAUGGGCAUAGCGGGGUCCUGUCCCGCCUAUAUGAUAUGACAUACUCUCCUUAGAGGCUCGUAGACAUGUGUAUAUGGGUAGAUGUGUUUGGCCUUGUCGGCCUAUAUUUUGGAUAUCAUUUUGUUAGCCUCGUCGGCUUAUGUACAUUGUUGUGGGCAUAGUUGUGAUGAUGAUAUAAAUGUAUUGUUGCCCAAUGGAAAUAGUAUGAAUGAGGAAUAAAAGUAUGAUUUAGCUAUGUGGCU
This is a long non-coding RNA of Lycium barbarum (goji berry), 682 nucleotides long. RefSeq lists it as uncharacterized. Lineage: Eukaryota; Viridiplantae; Streptophyta; Magnoliopsida; Solanales; Solanaceae. The record is from RefSeq and is a predicted model, not a curated record. The transcript is spliced from 3 exons.